AUUGAACGCUGGCGGAAUGCUUUACACAUGCAAGUCGAACGGUAGAGGGGGCAACCCCUCGAGAGUGGCGAACGGGUGAGUAAUAUAUCGGAACGUGCCCAGUCGUGGGGGAUAACGUAGCGAAAGUUACGCUAAUACCGCAUACGAUCUAAGGAUGAAAGCGGGGGAUCGCAAGACCUCGCGCGAUUGGAGCGGCCGAUAUCAGAUAAGGUAGUUGGUGGGGUAAAGGCUCACCAAGCCAACGAUCUGUAGCUGGUCUGAGAGGACGACCGGCCACACUGGAACUGAGACACGGUCCAGACUCCUACGGGAGGCAGCAGUGGGGAAUUUUGGACAAUGGACGCAAGUCUGAUCCAGCCAUUCCGCGUGCAGGAUGAAGGCCCUCGGGUUGUAAGCUGCUUUUGUACGGAACGAAAAGGUCUCUCUUAAUACGGGGGGCUCAUGACGGUACCGUAAGAAUAAGCACCGGCUAACUACGUGCCAGCCGCCGCCGUAA
This 496-nucleotide ribosomal RNA is filed under the name uncultured bacterium. RNAcentral's name for it is "partial 16S ribosomal RNA". It matches the Rfam family "Bacterial small subunit ribosomal RNA", at positions 30 to 523 of the family's 1533-position model. The record is from RNAcentral.